This 436-nucleotide ribosomal RNA is filed under the name uncultured marine eukaryote. RNAcentral's name for it is "SSU rRNA". It matches the Rfam family "Eukaryotic small subunit ribosomal RNA", at positions 617 to 1057 of the family's 1831-position model. The record is from RNAcentral.
GGUUAAAAAGCUCGUAGUUGGAUUUCUGUCGAAGACGGCCGGUCCGCUCUAUGAGCGUGUAUCUGGUUCGGCUUUGGCAUCCUCGUGGGGAACGUAACUGUGCUUAAUUGCAUGGUGCGGAAUUCACGACUUUUACUUUGAGGAAAUUAGAGUGUUCACGGCAGGCAAGCGCCUUGAAUACAUUAGCAUGGAAUAAUAAUAUAGGACUUUGGUUCUAUUUUGUUGGUUUCUAGAACUAAAGUAAUGAUUAAUAGGGAUAAUUGGGGGCAUUUGUAUUAACGCGUCAGAGGUGGAAUUCUUGGAUUGCGUUACGACAAACUACUGCGAAAGCAUUUGCCAAGGAUGUUUUCAUUGAUCAAGAACGAAAGUAUGGGGAUCGAAGAUGGUUAGAUACCGUCGUAGUCUAUACCAUAAACUAUGCCGACUAGAGAUUGGA